UCCAGGAGAUGUUCCUGUGGCUAGUUACCUUGGGAUGGGUGGGAAACGUUUUUAUUCUCUUUCAGAGUGUAAGGAGGAUAAGCUAAAGGUAGGGCAUUGCUGCAAUAGUAUUUGCCUGUGACUUCGAUUUUUAGGUGGGGUUGGGUACUAAUCGGUCCCAUGUUAUUUGUUGUUAGAUGGGGUCCCUCAGCAUCUGGGGUGAAACCAUCUGAUGAGUUUUAUAGGUAGGAGAGGUACCCCCCCCCACACACACACAGGUCAGUCAUUUUCAGAUGGGGUCCCUCAGCAUCUGGGGUGAAACCAUCUGGUUCAAUCCUUAGCACAUGAGAAGCUUGUGUGUUGUCACUAGAAACUGCAGGUCAGUACACCAUCUCCUACGAUUAGCAGGCACCGGUUCCGUGUCUAGCAUAGUGGGUAGUACAGUUGAUGCCCUGUUCUGUCCUUGGGACUAAAUUCUGAGGUAGGUUUUUAAUUGCAUCACCGUCGGGACGACGUCGCAGAAACUUGGGGUGGAAUGUAGUGGGACAAGGUGAUUGACAGCUGUGUUCACCUAUCGGAGAGUAGGGCUCCCUACUUAAGGGCUGAUUGGUUGAUGCCGUGUAUGUGUCAUGUCUGAUCCCUCCCCCCGUGUCUGUUGACGGUCGUCACAGUGUGUGUUGGCUCCGAUGCUGGUGCCUGUUAGCACUGUUCCAUGGAUUUUAAGAGUGCUAGUCUCUCAGGUUGACUCCCUGUAUGCCAGGGCACUGGUGGCUGCCAUGACAGCUGUAUGCCGGUGUCCGUAAGGUGUCGUGCCUGGCGUAAGAAGCGGGUUCUCCCUCUCGUUCCGGGCUGUGAUUAGGUCUGCCGCCUACCUCUUCGCACUGUUUUAGCGCUGCUAUUCAGCUUGCAGUGCGCACGUGUUGACAUCAUUAAGGGGUGCUGCUGGUGUCCGGUCAAUCUUUUAAUAUCGCACCGUAGUGCUCAAAUCCAUAUGUGUUGGGGACAUGAACGUUUUUGUUUAAAGAUUAAGUGAUGCCCUGAAUGAGCUCUGUGAUUCCCCUAUCCAACCUAUUUAAUUAUUUUGUUUCUUUUGUUAACUUCUUAUUUUGUAUUUAUAAUUUGUUUGCUGCACGUGACUCCUCAUAGUUGUAACGUGCCCGGGUGUAUGGGCCUAUUGGACCUAGUAACACACUGUGACAGAUGGGAGUGGUAUGUGAAAUUAACCCUCCUAAUGUUUUAUUGUCUCUGUUUGUGUAUUGUAUUAAUGGUCACUAUAGAGGAGUUGUGAGAACGGUCAUGUGAGAAGUAGUUAAACCAUCUAUAAAAAGUGUUUAUAAUUUAUGUUCUGUUAAGUGUCUUUAACCUUUAUUUUUGGUUUAUCGCAGGAGCUGGGGUCCCACGGGUGACAGGAAAUUCUACAGUGGUGGUGGUGCUUCUCAUCGUGUGCUGUGUAACAUCUUGUGUGCUUCGUAGUGUGGUUUGAGUGCACUUUGGUGUGUGUGUGGUUGUGUGGAAGUGUGCAUGCUCGAACUAAACUCUGUCCUCUGCCGUUGGGAGCCUCAGCCCUGCUGGUAACAUUCUCUUUUCUUUAUUUGUUUUGAUUCAACCUUUUUGUUAUAAUUAAAAUUGUGUCUUUUCCUUUUAAAGGAAAGAAUGAGUACUUGGUGUGUCUUUUUAAUCUACACUCUAAAAAAAAAGGUUCAUUGAGGUUCUAUAUAGAACCAUGGGGUUCUUUACUUGGCCAAUAGAACCUUUUACCAAAAAAAGGGUUCCAUAUAGAGCCCUUGGAGGGCAAAGAACCCAUUUUAUUAAAAUGGUUCUAUAAUUCACGUUUGUGACUGAAGUGUAAACUAAAGAUUACACAAUAAUUACAGACCUACACAACUCAUUUACAAACCUACACAACUCAUUCACAAACCUUUUUGUGUCAAUAAGCUGUGGUCAAAUAAAGAGAGAGUCAACAAAUAGGCUAUUCAUAUUUAUUGUAUGAUUUAUUUCCUGUGAGCUUUUUAAUGCAAGUUUGUACAUUAGCAUGAAACUUACAGUGCAGUUUGCGUUUUUGGUGAAUAACCAGGUGUUUUCUUUAUUUUGUACAUUCUAUAUUGUCAAUGUUUAAUUUAACCUGAAGGGGCAUUAAAAACAAAUAAUCGCAAAAGUGCCCUCUGGUGGCGUAUAUAUGCGUUGCACCAUAAGCGAAGAUGAGCCUCCAGACGUGACAGGUUUUUUUUCAAACUGAGGAGUUCGGACUCCAGACCGGCAUUUCUGCUUGUUGG
This is a long non-coding RNA of Paramisgurnus dabryanus, 2252 nucleotides long. RefSeq lists it as uncharacterized. NCBI's taxonomy places the organism in Eukaryota, Metazoa, Chordata, Actinopteri, Cypriniformes, Cobitidae. The record is from RefSeq and is a predicted model, not a curated record.